GAUGAACGCUAGCGGCAGGCCUAAUACAUGCAAGUCGAACGGGCUUAUGUUUUUCGGAAUAUGAGUUAGUGGCGCACGGGUGAGUAACACGUACAUAACCUACCUUCAAGAGGGGGAUAGCCUUGGGAAACUGAGAGUAAUACCCCAUAGUAUCAAGUUGCGGCAUCGUGAGUUGAUUAAAGCUGAGGUGCUUGAAGAUGGAUGUGCGUCUGAUUAGCUAGUUGGUGAGGUAACGGCGUCACCAAGGCGACGAUCAGUAGCUGGUCUGAGAGGAUGAUCAGCCACACCGGAACUGAGACACGGUCCGGACUCCUACGGGAGGCAGCAGUGGGGAAUAUUGCGCAAUGGGCGAAAGCCUGACGCAGCCAUACCGCGUGUGUGAAGAAGGCCU
This 391-nucleotide ribosomal RNA is filed under the name uncultured bacterium. RNAcentral describes it as "bacterial SSU rRNA". It matches the Rfam family "Bacterial small subunit ribosomal RNA", at positions 28 to 417 of the family's 1533-position model. The record is from RNAcentral.